AUUCCUGUCGUUUAGUGGUUUAAGACAAUGCUUUUUCAUGGCAUCAACGUGAGUUCAAAUCUCACCAGGAGUA
RNAcentral lists this transfer RNA (73 nucleotides) under Palmaria palmata (dulse). RNAcentral's name for it is "tRNA-Glu". It matches the Rfam family "tRNA". Rfam says of the family: Transfer RNA (tRNA) molecules are approximately 80 nucleotides in length. Their secondary structure includes four short double-helical elements and three loops (D, anti-codon, and T loops). RNAcentral also lists the same sequence under 1 other name. Lineage: Eukaryota; Rhodophyta; Florideophyceae; Palmariales; Palmariaceae. The record is from RNAcentral.